UUUGAUUUGAGGGUAGAAAGAAAACCGUGUAAUUUGCAAAUUGAUUAUGCUUAUACAGAAUAAGAACUAGACACGUUAUCAACAGAUAAUCCAUUAAUUAGACCCAAAUCACAAACUCUAUAAAUAAGGAGAGAGAGAGGCUCAACUGCAUUGUUGAAUAAGAAUGGAGAUAAAGGAUCUCCAUCUCCUUGCUUUAAUCCAUCAUGCAUUUUGAACUGUUCAUUUGAGGGAAUCCCAUUAGUUAGCACAAACACCUUGGCCGAAGAGAUGCAGGAGUUUACUUGGGUGUUUUGUCAUCUUUGGAGUUGAGGAAGGAAGAAGAUGGUGGUGCUUUUCAAGAUGAGAAGAAGAUCACUAAUAAGAUGCCAUCUUUCAUCCAUGUUUAAGGGGAUUAUUACUCCUUGGUAUAGUGAAUUAGGCUUGGAACUGUGGCCUAAAGAUCCAUAACUUGGAUGCUGAAUUUGAGUUUUUGAUGAGGAAAUCCAACCUCUUGGCAAGUCUGAUACUUGGCUUUGAAACUCUCUUUUCUUUCUUCCUUCUUUUUUUCUUGUUUGGUUGCCAGGAAAAACUGGAAUGAAACUAAAACUAUAUUUAUAUAUUUCAUGUUACGAGAUUUCAUGAUUUUAUUUCUUUUUCUUUGUCU
Molecule: unclassified non-coding RNA, 643 nt
Filed under: Hevea brasiliensis (rubber tree)
Lineage: Eukaryota; Viridiplantae; Streptophyta; Magnoliopsida; Malpighiales; Euphorbiaceae
Source: RNAcentral